Belonocnema kinseyi is the source of this 1241-nucleotide long non-coding RNA. RefSeq lists it as uncharacterized. NCBI's taxonomy places the organism in Eukaryota, Metazoa, Arthropoda, Insecta, Hymenoptera, Cynipidae. The record is from RefSeq and is a predicted model, not a curated record. The transcript is spliced from 3 exons.
UCGCGUCUCGUUUUCAGUGUCAUUCCCUCCGCCGUGGGGAACUGGUUGUGUCUAGUGUAGUGGGGUGAGUGAACAGUCUUCAGCGUAGACUGUAGACUGUUAAAAAAUACUUAAGUGCACACAGGAUAUCUCUGGAGCAAAAUAAGAAUUCACAGAAUCAAUCAUCAAAUCAUCAGGACCUAAAAUGGAUACUCAAGUGCUCUUGGAUCCCAGACUACUAGGAGGGGAUGUAUGUCGAGUCCGUAUCGAUUCGACGUGUAACUCGUUUCUCCUAACUACUAUAUAUAUGACAAGAUUGGACUCCUCGCCUCGAUAUUGAUUACGUGUGCCUUCUUCUGGUUUAGCAUAUGAAUUCCAGUUCAGCAAGGAACAUGAAGGCAAUACUAUCAAAAAACCAACAUCUGGAAACUUUUUACAAACAGCUAAAUUUAUCUCAGAAGACACCAAAGAAGGAUUGGAUUAAAUUAUAAAAAGUCUCUCGGACAUUACAAAUGAGCGAAAAAUGCUAAAGUAAAACUUGGCCUAAUUUUUGAAGACUAUGGAAGAUUCGCAAAUGGCAUCGAAGGAAUCAAAAUUAAAAUAGGUCUCUAUGUUAUGUGAGCAACUGUAAUUCCAAUUUCUAAUUAGUCGAUUGAUGCAUUUAAAAUAUCAUAAGCGGAAUAGCUUGAUGCUAAGAAAGAGCUGUGAUUCUUACCUUUGCUUCAAUUUCUUUAAUUAUUCGUAUCAUUUUUUCCAGUAGUAUGAAAGAUUAACAACAAAUAUACAUGUAAUCCGUUAGGCCUGCCAAAAGAAAAAAGAAAAUAUGUAACUUAGCAAAGUCACUGUUUCUCGUCCUAAUUCUGGAUCUAUGUCCGAAUCAUUUUCAUACCCUCAAAAACAUAAUAGUAAUAUUUUAAAUUCCAUAUACGUACUUGUUAAACAUCUAAAUUUUCAGAAUUUAUUUAAGCAAACAAAUGAAUUAAACAACUAUUAAUUUCCUAAAAGUAAAUGGAUUACAAGUGGACAUCACAUUUUAAUGGGAAGCCUUCAAGAACGAUUGGAACUCAUUAACCAAACGGAGGAUAAUUAUAAAUCAUAUGAACAAUAUUAUUAUCAAAUCCUUACAUCCAUCUUCCUGAUAUUAUUUAUAAUCAAGAAAGUUUGCUAAUAAGAGUACUUAAUGUAAGAAUUACCCAGAUGUAAGGCCCAUUUUUGUAAAUCUCUAUCGUGAAUUAUAUAACCGGCAUCGGAAGAUGACUGAA